Molecule: long non-coding RNA, 924 nt
Organism: Heterocephalus glaber (naked mole-rat)
Lineage: Eukaryota; Metazoa; Chordata; Mammalia; Rodentia; Bathyergidae
Source: Ensembl
GUCUGCUUCUCUAAGUGAUACUCCGGCCACGUGGCGGCGGCCCUGGCUGCUCUGAAGGCGGUGGUCACUAACCUCAGACCUUGGGAUAGUGCCUGGCGUCCCUGCUGACUUUAGGGGAAAAGCCCACCCCGUGGAGGCGCAGUUGGUCAGGACCUCGGACAGGGACCCUGGCUCCAAAUCGUUAUCCGCGCCUUCUCUGGUUUUUCCCUGCUUUCCUUUCCCUCUCUUCCGGGCCAGCCUUGAGCACGAAGCCUGGGAGGCGUCGCCUGGCACCUUUCACUGUUUCAGCACCCGCAGGCAGGGCCCGAGGUGGAGGCGGGGAUCUGAGUCUGGCCUCACUCCGCCUAAGCUCUAGCUGUCCCUGGGGUCUCCUGCCAGACCACAACGUGGGGGCCGAGCUUGUGGGCCCCAGCUGGCCCCUCCUGAACAUGCGGCUAAGCUCAGCAUGGUGACACUCCUAUAACCCAGCAGCACUCGGGAGCCAGAGGCUGGAGGGUUGCUAGUUUGAAGCCAGCCUGGGGAAUAUUGCGAGCCCCUGGCUCAAAACAAAACUAAACUAAACUAACACUGUGACUGCCUCUCUGUCGGUCCUUCUGUGCAUCUGGAAGCAAGGGUGGCUGGACCACACUCUGGGAUCGAGACUGAUGAGCAACUCUAUGCGCUAGACACGGGACAUUGUCAGCGUCCUGUGCUUCAGCCCCAGCUGCCACUAGCUCUGUGCCACCAAAGGUCCAGCAACAAGAUCCAGGGCUUGGAGGGCAACAUCAUCAUCCCAGCUGUGACAAAAUACCUGAAGAAAUCAACCUCAAAGGAAAAAGGUUUUUCUUGGCUCACAGCUUCAGAGUUUCCACCCGUGAUAGCUUGGUGCUGUGACCUGUGGGCCUGUGGUGAAGAAGAAGAACAUGGCGGGGAAUGCAGAGCAAC